UACGUAGGGUGCGAGCGUUGUCCGGAAUUAUUGGGCGUAAAGAGCUCGUAGGCGGUCUGUCGCGUCUGCUGUGAAAACCCGAGGCUCAACCUCGGGCCUGCAGUGGGUACGGGCAGACUAGAGUGCGGUAGGGGAGAAUGGAACUCCUGGCGUAGCGGUGGAAUGCGCAGAUAUCAGGAAGAACACCGAUGGCGAAGGCAGUUCUCUGGGCCGUAACUGACGCUGAGGAGCGAAAGCGUGGGGAGCGAACAGG
Molecule: ribosomal RNA, 253 nt
Filed under: uncultured bacterium
Lineage: Bacteria
Description: partial 16S ribosomal RNA
Rfam family: Bacterial small subunit ribosomal RNA
Source: RNAcentral